AUGAAACGCUUUCAGACAUAAUUUAAAAUUGCACUUAGCUUUAAGUCAACUUUUUAGUGGAGCAAUUGUUAAUCUAGUACUAUGAGAUUACAAUAGAAAUGUCUUCCUUUUACUUAAGACCUCUAAAUGGCGAAAAGGACAUUGUGGUUCCCUUUGGCAAAACCACGAUCGGAAGAGGUCCUUUACUUGGGGUGACAGACAAACGAGUGUCUAGAUCGCAUGCGGUACUGGAGGUGAAAGAUGAAAAUCUUACUAUUCUGCCCCUUCACAUCAAUCCAACCUUCUUGAAAUCUUCUGAUGGAAAGAAGUUUGUAAGUUUGAAGAAAGGCAAAACCAGAGUCCUGAUUGAUGGUGAUGUUAUUGCAUUGCUUCCAGACAGCUUGUGCUUUAUGGUUGUUUGUCAGGGAGACUCACUUGAGAAUGGUGUAACAGAAGAACAAGUGGGAAUCUCCAAGAAUAAGAUGUUAGAUAAGCUUCUUACUAAGUCAAACAAGGCUCAUGAUAAGGAAAAACCUACAAAAUCAUCAGACACACCCACAGGUGCUGCUAAUAUGUUGCUGGAUGAAUUCAUGAAUACUAAGCCUUCCUUAGGAACAUUUUCUGCUGAUGCAUUUACUAAACAUGCCAAUGUGAACUUCACAAACAGUAAACCAUCCACUCAAGACACAAUUACAGCUAAUUCCUCCUUCUCUGUGAUAGAAAAAGAUGUGAUACCACCAUACAGACCAUUGGUAGAGCCUGCACCUUUGCUGCAAAAGACACGCAAACUACCCUCAUGGUUAAUAGAGUCAACAAGUCAAGUAAAAUCUCCUGCUAAGAAUUCAGUUAACAGGAGAGGGAGAACUUUGGUUAGCCAAAAUGUAGAGAAGAAAACAGCCGCAGAUAACAAAGAAAGAAACAAAAUCACUUGGAGGGAAAAAUUGUCAGCGAAGGAGGAACAGAAGGUUUCAGGCAUAGAUGAGGAUUUUACCAUGGGGGAUGAUGAUGAAUCUGAGCAUUUGAAGGAUAGAGGAAAGACCAAAUUUGCAAAGAAAAGAUCAUCUACAAGCACUGAAGACAAUGAGGAAGAUGUCAAACCCACAGAAAGCAAGAAAACAAGAACAAGCAGAAUACUAGGGAAUGAAAAUGAUGUUGACAACGAGCCUUCAGGACCAAAAAGCAAGAAGGAUAUUCGUAAAACAUUUUCAGGAGAUACUGAUACUGGUGGAAGUGAUGAUGAGAUGUCUGCAUCCAAAGUAGAAAGAACCCAAAUGAAGUUUGUAGAGUGGUAUGUUGUUCAAACCAAUGAGAUCACUGCAUUUGGGUAUGUAUCUUGUACCACUAUAAGGGUAUGUAUCUGGCACCAAUCAGAUUGCCGCAUUAAGGUAUAUAUCUCUCACCAAUCAUAUCACAGCUUUCUUUUGGAAUCAGGGGGCUGUGCACAAAGAAUGAUGUAAACCAUAAAUUUUGGGCUAAUUUUGAUAAGUGUAAUGGUUUGUGGCCUUCAUGGGAGCCUCGUUGCUUAGGGUCAAGAUUUAUCAGGAUAUGAAAGGUUCACAUUUAACCUUUUUGUAUCAUUAUUAAGUUAAAAGGUGUUUUUUCCACUCCUUUACUCACAACUCGCAUACCAAACAACUUACAUUCCAUCACGUAUCAUGAAAACAACAUCUAAAGUCCAAUCAGAACAUACCAAAUCAUAUCACUACAUGAACAUUUGACAAUUUUUCAGGUGCUUGAAUUGUUUACUACAAAUCAAAUUCCAUUUUGUCAAGUAAUAGUAAAUUUUAUUCGCAGUUCUCCCACAUUUUGACUAUUUCGAUGAAUAUAAUUGGCUUUUAGCUACCUUGGACUUAAUUCAAUCGCAUGUUAAUUUCUUGUGAACAACCUGCAUUUUAUCAUGUAUUUCACACAUGGAGGGCAAAGUCCAGGUAGGCAAUAAGCAAUCAAGAAGCACUCUUUAAAAUAUUAUCCUUUUCUUUUGAUCAAUGUAUCUUCUUUUAUUCAAGAUCGCAGUAUAUCUUUGGAUAGGGUCUAUUGGAGAUACAACAGAGUUUCAGUUUGCUUUUCAUAGUAAAAUUAUGCAGAAUUAUAUUUUUGAGGCAACUAAUUGUAGAUGAAUAAUUUUGAUUUUCUCUCUAUUUAAGGUAUUUUUCCAACUGUAUCACACUAUUACUAGUCCAUGUAUUUGUUUAAGUAUAGUACUUGGGAGGUUGGGAGAACACUCGAUAAGCUGGAAACCACUCAGCUUCGCAUUGUGGUUUUCCACGCUUAUCUCAUGUUCUCCCAACCUCCCGUGUGUUUACAUCAGGCUAUGUAAACAUGAAAACCAUUUUACAUUUCUUCAAUAGUGACUACAUACAUCAUACAUGUAUUGUUAGACAAACUAUUAAACAUUUUUUGCUCUGUAGACGGCAUGAAAAAUUAUGCUACCAGUUGAGCCUCUCCAAAAUGGCUAUGGGGCAGGGAAAAGGUGCUGUUGUAUGAGACCUGUAUUUUUUUGAAGAGGAAACAAUAUUUUUUUAAAAAAAUUAUUUAUUAUAGUAGAAUCCUAAUUAACUGAUGCAAAGGUUUUUAAAUUAAGCCGUUACCAACAGUUCUACGGUUGUAAUGUUUUUCCCUCUUCUUUUGCAGGAAAAUGAAAAAGAAUCAGACAAAAUGAAACUUCCACCCUGUCCUUAUGGAAAGAAAUGCUACAGGAAAAAUCCUUUGCAUUUCAAAGAGUAUUUGCACCCUGACAAGGAUAGUAGUGAUGAUGAUGAUGAUGAUGAUGAU
This is a non-coding RNA of Pocillopora verrucosa, 2751 nucleotides long. Lineage: Eukaryota; Metazoa; Cnidaria; Anthozoa; Scleractinia; Pocilloporidae. The record is from RefSeq and is a predicted model, not a curated record.